UACAGUGAAGGAGGCUGCUGGAGAAGAAAGCAUACUUUAGCCUGCCCAUAUGGGACAGAUGGUGGAUACAGCGCAGUGGCAACAUCCCGAAUCGACAACGCUCAGAUAUAUUCCUGGCUGGAUAUUAUUUGUAAACACAAAUCCUGAGUUUAAUUGUGGGACUUGAAAAUUGCAAUAGGAUGCCUCCGAAAUAUGUUGCAAUUUCUUACACUGGGACGUGCUGCCCAUGCAAUGACCCUUUCAGUGACAAGACAGAAAUCACCUUAGCCACAAAGGACAAAGAAGGAGGAACUACAGGUUCCAACAAGCGACCCCUGCAUGCUGGUAAUUGGAGAACUACAAGACAGGACAUCAAAGGCCC
This is a long non-coding RNA of Pseudophryne corroboree (corroboree frog), 361 nucleotides long. RefSeq lists it as uncharacterized. NCBI's taxonomy places the organism in Eukaryota, Metazoa, Chordata, Amphibia, Anura, Myobatrachidae. The record is from RefSeq and is a predicted model, not a curated record. The transcript is spliced from 3 exons.